GACGAACGCUGGCGGCGUGCUUAACACAUGCAAGUCGAACGGUGAAGCGCCUUCCUUUUUGGUGGGUGUGGAUGAGUGGCGAACGGGUGAGUAACACGUGAGUAACCUGCCCCCUUCUUCUGGAUAACCGCAUGAAAGUGUGGCUAAUACGGGAUAUUCUGGGUCUGUCGCAUGAUGGGUCUGGGAAAGAUAUUGUUUCGGUGGGGGAUGGGCUCGCGGCCUAUCAGCUUGUUGGUGGGGUGAUGGCCUACCGAGGCGGUGACGGGUAGCCGGCCUGAGAGGGUGGACGGUCACACUGGGACUGAGACACGGCCCAGACUCCUACGGGAGGCAGCAGUGGGGAAUAUUGCACAAUGGGCGCAAGCCUGAUGCAGCGACGCCGCGUGAGGGAUGGAGGCCUGCGGGUUGUGAACCUCUUUCGCCAGUGAAGCAGGCCUGCCUCGUUUGUGGGUGGGUUGACGGUAGCUGGAUAAGAAGCGCCGGCUAACUACGUG
RNAcentral lists this ribosomal RNA (494 nucleotides) under uncultured bacterium. RNAcentral's name for it is "partial 16S ribosomal RNA". It matches the Rfam family "Bacterial small subunit ribosomal RNA", at positions 28 to 507 of the family's 1533-position model. The record is from RNAcentral.